RNAcentral lists this ribosomal RNA (366 nucleotides) under uncultured microorganism. RNAcentral's name for it is "bacterial SSU rRNA". It matches the Rfam family "Archaeal small subunit ribosomal RNA", at positions 330 to 704 of the family's 1478-position model. The record is from RNAcentral.
GUGCAGCAGGCGCGAAUACUUUACAAUGUGCGAAAGCACGAUAAGGGAACUCUGAGUGCCUCCUAAGGAGGCUGUUCAGGUGUCUAAAAAGCACCUGGAGUAAGGGCUGGGUAAGACCGGUGCCAGCCGCCGCGGUAACACCGGCAGCCCAGGUGGUAGCCACUUUUAUGGGUCUAAAGCGUCCGUAGCCGGUUGAGUAAGUUCCUUGGGAAAUUUGGCUGCUCAACAGUCAAGCUUCCAGGGAAUACUGCUCGACUUGGGACUGGGAGAGGUCAGAGGUACUCCAGGGGUAGGGUGAAAUCCAUUAAUCCCUGGGGACCACCGGUAGCGAAGGCGUCUGACCAGACCAGGUCCGACGGUGAGGGA